GGUAACCACAGAUUGAGCCCAAGAGCACUUAAACCACUGGGCCACAUCCCCAGCCCUUUUUUUGUAUUUUAUUUUGAGACAUGGUCUUGCUGAGUUGCUUAGGGUCUUGACAAAUUGCUGAGGCUGGCUUUGAACUCAUAAUUCUCCUGCCUCAGCCUCCAGAGCUGCUGGGAUUACAGGCAUGCACCGCCAUGCCCAGCUAAAGAAAAUAUUUUGGAUAAACAUUCUCUAGCAAGUAUGUUUCUGUUGACCAGAUAUUGAGGCAGCAGGCCAUCUGCUUUCACCCUCUUCAGGGCUGAAUAAAUGGGAUAAAAAGUUGUUGCAAAGAAAAGAAGAAAAGUAAGAACCUAUCUGAAAAUAUGACAGAGGAGUAGAUUGUAAACAAGAGAACAAGAUGGUAGAGUAAAAAAGAAGAAAAAACCGAUGGAAAGAAAAAUGUUGAUGAAUGUAACUUAAAAAAAAGAUUGGGAGGGAAUGAACAAGAGAGGAAGAUGGAGAAGAAGGUGAGAAAACGAGGAACUUUGAAGAAGUAGUAAGUAGUGGAACUGCUGUUGGUAGAGGGUGGGAAUUUCAUCAUUCAACACAGUUGAAAAUAUGCAGGCACCAUGAAGAGAGAACAUGGCUCUUUAUGGUGAAAGGGAAGCCCACAAAUCUCUGUCUUUGAAAAUCACUUUUACUUUUGACAGUCAAGUAACUCGGGCCCUUAUUUUUCUACAGCUGCAGGAAGUCCAAGGUCCUGGCCCUGACCCAGGAAGUGCCACCAUUUUCCUGGACAAUAUCACCUCUUUCUUCUCAUUUCUCAGUACCUUUCUUCCCUGACAAGCUGACAGUGGGCUAGCAGGUUACCUCAGAUUCAAUGGGUAGGCCACUCAAGAAAGGGAAUUAAAGUUUAGAGUAGGGGACAAGCAGUAUUCCAUAUUAGAGAAGACUGUUGCUAAAAUGAUCUCUUCUCAGGGUGCCUCAGUCAGGAUAUAUCCUUUGCUCAAGGAAAACUCCAUUUCUCUUCAUUGUGUUUGGAAAUGGAGAACUGUCUGGUCAGACUCUGCCUUUAUUUUAUAUACUUAAAGGACACAUUGAAGAGUUUUCUCCCACAAAAAAAGCCCUGUCAGCUAGGCUUGGGAGGCUGAGGCAGGAGGAUCACAAGUUUAAGGGCAGCUUCAGCAACUUAGUCUCAAAAUUUUAAAAAACAGGGGCUGGGGUUGUAGCUCAGUGGUAGAGUGCUUGCCUAGCAUGUGUGAGGCACUGGGUUCAAUCCCUGGCACCACAUAAAAAAAUAAAUGAAUAAAAUAAAGAUAAAAAAAAUAAAAAACAUUUUUAAGGGCUGGGGAUGUGGCUCAAGCGGUAGCGCGCUUGCCUGGCAUGCGUGCAGCCUGGGUUCGAUCCUCAGCACCACAUAUAAACAAAGAUGUUGUG
Molecule: long non-coding RNA, 1413 nt
Filed under: Marmota monax (woodchuck)
Lineage: Eukaryota; Metazoa; Chordata; Mammalia; Rodentia; Sciuridae
Rfam family: tRNA (bases 1196-1264)
Source: RNAcentral